RNAcentral lists this transfer RNA (82 nucleotides) under Holosporaceae bacterium. RNAcentral describes it as "tRNA-Leu". It matches the Rfam family "tRNA". Rfam says of the family: Transfer RNA (tRNA) molecules are approximately 80 nucleotides in length. Their secondary structure includes four short double-helical elements and three loops (D, anti-codon, and T loops). Lineage: Bacteria; Pseudomonadati; Pseudomonadota; Alphaproteobacteria; Holosporales; Holosporaceae. The record is from RNAcentral.
GCGGACGUGGUGGAAUUGGCAGACACGUCGGAUUUAGGUUCCGAUGGUUUAGGCCGUGGGGGUUCGAGUCCCUUCGUCCGCA